This 87-nucleotide small nucleolar RNA is filed under the name Otolemur garnettii (small-eared galago). RNAcentral's name for it is "Small nucleolar RNA U3". It matches the Rfam family "Small nucleolar RNA U3", at positions 1 to 99 of the family's 219-position model. From Rfam's summary of the family: Small nucleolar RNAs (snoRNAs) are involved in the processing and modification of rRNA in the nucleolus. There are two main classes of snoRNAs: the box C/D class, and the box H/ACA class. U3 snoRNA is a member of the box C/D class. The record is from Rfam by way of RNAcentral. Lineage: Eukaryota; Metazoa; Chordata; Mammalia; Primates; Galagidae.
AAGACUAUACUUUCAGGGAUCAUUUCUAUAGUUUGUUACUAGCGAAGUCUCUUUCAAUGUGUAGAGAGAAGGAGGAGGCACAGUGUU